UCUCACCUGAAAGACAUGACUCCCAUGUGGCUCUUCCUCUUCCUGCUGUCAGCUCCCACAUGUGUCCUGUCCCAGGUGCAGCUGCAGGAGUCGGGCCCUGGACUGAUGAAGCCCUCGCAGACCCUCUCCCUCACCUGCUCUGUCUCUGGAUUCUCCAUCACAACCAGUGGUUAUGGCUGGAGCUGGAUCCGCCAGCCCCCAGGGAAGGGGCUGGAGUGGAUUGUGCGCAUAGAUUAUGAUGGAGACACUUUCUACAGCCCCUCCCUCAAGAGGCGAACCUCCAUCUCCAAAGACACGUCCAAGAACCAGUUCUCCCUGCAACUGAGGUCUGUGACCACCGAGGACACAGCCGUGUAUUACUGUGCAAGACACACAGUGAGGGGA
This is a non-coding RNA of Myotis davidii, 384 nucleotides long. NCBI's taxonomy places the organism in Eukaryota, Metazoa, Chordata, Mammalia, Chiroptera, Vespertilionidae. The record is from the annotation of a RefSeq genome assembly.